GAUGAAGAACGCAGCGAAAUGCGAUAAGUAAUGUGAAUUGCAGAAUUCAGUGAAUCAUCGAAUCUUUGAUCGCACAUUGCGCCCGCCAGUAUUCUGGCGGGCAUGCCUGUCCGAGCGUCAUUUCAACCCUCGAACCCCUCCGGGGGGUCGGCGUUGGGGAUCGGCCCCUCACCGGGCCGCCCCCGAAAUCCAGUGGCGGUCUCGCCGCAGCCUCUCCUGCGCAGUAGUUUGCACACUCGCACCGGGAGCGCGGCGCGGCCACAGCCGUAAAACACCCCAAACUCUGAAAUGUUGACCUCGGAUCAGGUAGGAAUACCCGCUGAACUUAAGCAUAUCAAAAGCGGAGGA
Molecule: unclassified non-coding RNA, 348 nt
Filed under: soil metagenome
Description: partial contains 5.8S ribosomal RNA, internal transcribed spacer 2, and large subunit ribosomal RNA
Rfam family: 5.8S ribosomal RNA (bases 1-120)
Source: RNAcentral